RNAcentral lists this transfer RNA (75 nucleotides) under Etmopterus spinax (velvet belly lantern shark). Its description in RNAcentral is "tRNA-Asn". It matches the Rfam family "tRNA". From Rfam's summary of the family: Transfer RNA (tRNA) molecules are approximately 80 nucleotides in length. The record is from RNAcentral. Lineage: Eukaryota; Metazoa; Chordata; Chondrichthyes; Squaliformes; Etmopteridae.
UAGAUAGAAGUUCACUGGAUAGAACACUUAGCUGUUAACUAAGACUUAUUGUAGGAUCGAGGCCUAUCUAUCUAG